This 880-nucleotide ribosomal RNA is filed under the name Staphylococcus warneri. RNAcentral's name for it is "bacterial SSU rRNA". It matches the Rfam family "Bacterial small subunit ribosomal RNA", at positions 33 to 894 of the family's 1533-position model. Lineage: Bacteria; Bacillati; Bacillota; Bacilli; Caryophanales; Staphylococcaceae. The record is from RNAcentral.
ACGCUGGCGGCGUGCCUAAUACAUGCAAGUCGAGCGAACAGAUAAGGAGCUUGCUCCUUUGACGUUAGCGGCGGACGGGUGAGUAACACGUGGAUAACCUACCUAUAAGACUGGGAUAACUUCGGGAAACCGGAGCUAAUACCGGAUAACAUAUUGAACCGCAUGGUUCAAUAGUGAAAGGCGGCUUUGCUGUCACUUAUAGAUGGAUCCGCGCCGUAUUAGCUAGUUGGUAAGGUAACGGCUUACCAAGGCAACGAUACGUAGCCGACCUGAGAGGGUGAUCGGCCACACUGGAACUGAGACACGGUCCAGACUCCUACGGGAGGCAGCAGUAGGGAAUCUUCCGCAAUGGGCGAAAGCCUGACGGAGCAACGCCGCGUGAGUGAUGAAGGUCUUCGGAUCGUAAAACUCUGUUAUCAGGGAAGAACAAAUGUGUAAGUAACUGUGCACAUCUUGACGGUACCUGAUCAGAAAGCCACGGCUAACUACGUGCCAGCAGCCGCGGUAAUACGUAGGUGGCAAGCGUUAUCCGGAAUUAUUGGGCGUAAAGCGCGCGUAGGCGGUUUUUUAAGUCUGAUGUGAAAGCCCACGGCUCAACCGUGGAGGGUCAUUGGAAACUGGAAAACUUGAGUGCAGAAGAGGAAAGUGGAAUUCCAUGUGUAGCGGUGAAAUGCGCAGAGAUAUGGAGGAACACCAGUGGCGAAGGCGACUUUCUGGUCUGUAACUGACGCUGAUGUGCGAAAGCGUGGGGAUCAAACAGGAUUAGAUACCCUGGUAGUCCACGCCGUAAACGAUGAGUGCUAAGUGUUAGGGGGUUUCCGCCCCUUAGUGCUGCAGCUAACGCAUUAAGCACUCCGCCUGGGGAGUACGACCGCAAGGU